This is a long non-coding RNA of Homo sapiens (human), 536 nucleotides long. RefSeq lists it as uncharacterized. The transcript is spliced from 2 exons. The record is from RefSeq and is a predicted model, not a curated record. Lineage: Eukaryota; Metazoa; Chordata; Mammalia; Primates; Hominidae.
CCCAGGUGACCCACUUGGGUACCUCUUGGUAUUUCCCUGCUCAAUUAUUACUGUUAAUGAACAGGUAUAGACACCCAGGCAUGAGAAGAUCAUGGUGAUGAAGGGCUCAUAACCUUGUUGAUAAGGAUCUGGGUUACACUACCAGGAAGAGAGGCCUGUGGGAAUCCUGGAGGAGCUGCUCCUUGAAAGUAUAUGGGGAAGUGGAUCUAAGUGGCCCCGGGGGAGAACACAGGCAUGUUCUCCCAGACUCCUUCCAGGAAGAACUAGCUCUGAGGCAGAGUACAGUCAGCAGAGAGCUUCCAGCUUUCAGCUCUGCCUCAGCGGCAGAGUCAGCUCGAAUUCCCACCAUUCCUGGGGAUGCCUGCAUUUACCUGGUUGCUGAGUGACACUGAUGGGUAUACUCACUCCAGAGCUCUCUGCCAGGUCGGCUGAGGCUUUAUGGAGCCUAUAUUGCAGUUCAAGUUCUUCCUCCACCCAUCCUACAUCCCCCACACUCCUCUCCCUAAUAAAUAUCUGCACUGCAUAUUCCAUCUCAA